RNAcentral lists this ribosomal RNA (856 nucleotides) under Flavoparmelia subambigua. RNAcentral describes it as "SSU rRNA". It matches the Rfam family "Bacterial small subunit ribosomal RNA", at positions 356 to 1169 of the family's 1533-position model. The record is from RNAcentral. Lineage: Eukaryota; Fungi; Ascomycota; Lecanoromycetes; Lecanorales; Parmeliaceae.
GAGGAAUGUAUAGCAAUAGCUACUUGCAUCAUAGUAAAUAUGAUGCAAGCUCGACUAAGUUGAAUAAAAUUCUAGGCAGAAUUAUGAUAAUGACAUUGUCUGCCUAUGUGUCUUGACCAAAUUACGUGCCAGCAGUCGCGGUAAUACGUAGAAGACUAGUGUUAUUCAUGUUUAAUCGGUUUAAAGGGUACCUAGACGGUGAAUCAAGCUUUGGUGUAAACUCAUACAAUAUAAGUUAAUUUACAUAUGAUAAGGACUAAUUUACUAGAGUUACUUACGAGGGGGUAUUAAAGUACUGCUGGUGUAGAGAUGAAAUUCUGUCAUACCUCUUUUCGAUACGAAAAAUAAUGGCACAGGUAUAGGCGAAGGCAUCCCCUUAUGUGCUAACUGACGUUGAGGGACGAAGGCUUCAUGUAACAAACAGGAUUAGAUACCCUAGUAGUUGAAGCAGAAAAUGAUGAAUGUCAUAGAUUAGAUAUAUAAGUUUAUUCUAUAAAUGAAAGUGUAAGCAUUCCACCUCAUGAGUAAUUUGGCAACAUUGGAAUUGAAAUCAUUAGACCGUUUCUGAAACCAGUAGUGAAGUAUGUUGUUUAAUUUGAUAAUCCGCAAAAAACCUUACCACAAUUUGAAUAUUUAUAUCUUUUAUUGUUUUCUUCUUAAUUUUCCUAUGAUGAUAACGAUAACGAUGACGAUAAAAAUGAAAAGAUUUUUAAGAAAAUGGCAAUAAGAUACAUUUACAAGCGUUGCACGGCUGUCUUCAGUUAAUGUCGCGAGACUUUGGUUAGUUCCAUUAAAUUAACGUAAACCCUUACUUUAUUUUUUAUAUAGAGUAGUUCCCCACUAUAUUGGAUAUGAU